Molecule: ribosomal RNA, 614 nt
Filed under: Nitrospinaceae bacterium
Lineage: Bacteria; Pseudomonadati; Nitrospinota; Nitrospinia; Nitrospinales; Nitrospinaceae
Description: bacterial SSU rRNA
Rfam family: Eukaryotic small subunit ribosomal RNA
Source: RNAcentral
GGUAGGCUUAAAAACGGCUACCACAUCUAAGGAAGGCAGCAGGCACGCAAAUUACCCAAUGACCGCAGGUCGAGGUAGUGACGAAAAAUAACGAUACGGGACUCAUCCGAGGCCCCGUAAUCGGAAUGAGUACACUUUAAAACCGUCCCCGAGGAUCUAUUGGAGGGCAAGUCUGGUGCCAGCAGCCGCGGUAAUUCCAGCUCCAAUAGCGUAUAUUAAAGUUGUUGCGGUUAAAAAGCUCGUAGUUGGAGUCCUGCCAGGUGUCGCCUGUCUGCCCAAGUGGUACGAACAUGGCGUUCAUUUGGCCCUUUCAAGGGGAGCGUAUCUGCACUUUGUUGUGUGGUGCGGGAUCCUUGACUUUUACUUUGAGGAAAUAGGAGUGUUUCAAGCAGGCAUGCGCCGUGAACAUGUUAGCAUGGAAUAAUAGCAUCGGACCUCGUUCCAAAGCUGUUGGUUUCUUGGACCGAGGUAAAGGUGAAUAGGGAUUGUUGGGGGCAUUCGUAUUUAACUGUCAGAGGUGAAAUUCUUGGAUUUGUUGAAGACGGACUACUGCGAAAGCAUCUGCCAAAGAUGUUCUCAUUGAUCAAGAACGAAAGUUAGGUGAUCGAAGACGA